RNAcentral lists this ribosomal RNA (254 nucleotides) under uncultured bacterium. RNAcentral's name for it is "partial 16S ribosomal RNA". It matches the Rfam family "Bacterial small subunit ribosomal RNA", at positions 524 to 776 of the family's 1533-position model. The record is from RNAcentral.
UACAGAGGUCCCAAGCGUUUGUUCGGAUUUACUGGGCGUAAAGGGUGCGUAGGCGGUCGGGUAAGUCUGAUGUGAAAUCUCCGAGCUUAACUCGGAAAUGGCAUUGGAUACUAUUCGGCUGGAGAGUUGGAGGGGGGACUGGAAUACUUGGUGUAGCAGUGAAAUGCGUAGAUAUCAAGUGGAACACCAGUGGCGAAGGCGAGUCCCUGGACAACUUCUGACGCUGAGGCACGAAAGCUAGGGGAGCAAACAGG